Molecule: long non-coding RNA, 796 nt
Organism: Crotalus tigris (Tiger rattlesnake)
Lineage: Eukaryota; Metazoa; Chordata; Lepidosauria; Squamata; Viperidae
Exons: 3
Source: RefSeq, a predicted model, not a curated record
GAGGAAGAAGGAGGAAAAAAGUAGAAGAAAGGAGAGGAAGAGGAAGGAGGAGGACGACUCUUUCCGCCUUCCCACGGGAGACACCCAAGGCCAGGUACAGAAGUCCCAGCUUUUGUCCGGAAUGCAGUGACCUGCCCCCUGUCGAACGUCCCGAGUCGUCGUCACAGUGAGUUGGGGAGCAGAUAAAUUGAAUGAAUGAAUAAAAUAAGAAAGAAAUUUUAAAAAUGGGCACCUUCCAUGCAGCUACGUGCGGGUUCCCCCCCCCCGACCUGGCCCGGCUCAGGCCACCCUCGUAAAUCCAGGCCGGUUGCCAAGUGUGCCAAUUUUGAUCCCAUUAUGGAGGGACGCUGCGAGAGUCCUGGCUUGUAAGUUGUUCUUUUUAUUGCUGUUGUAACUUCAAACGAUCACUAAACCAGUGGUUGUCACCUGAGGACUACCCAUAAUGCAACUGGAGUGGGAAAUUGCAUCCUAACAGCUGGAAGACUCCCAAGCAGCUGUUCCCCUUUGGGCUGAGCAAGGUCCUCGGUGGAUGGAGCCGGUCCUUUUGCUGACCGGAAGGGACGCUGCCUGUGGUUACAGCCAAGCCACCUCCGCAAUCUUCGGCCUGGGGUGCACGGGGGCUCCUGCGGUCAGCUGGUCAGCUUCACCUUAAGAGAUGAAGAGGAAAGAACCAGGACACCCAGAAAUUGUCUUCUGUGGGACGAGAGACCUCAAACUGAAGUGCGCAUGGCAAAAAAUCAUCCAAUCCGUGAGGGUAGUCCAGCACACCGGUUCCUACCUGGUAGACCUUUGCUAG